CGCGUCUGUCGUGAAAGUCCGGGCCUUAACCCCGGAUCUGCGGUGGGUACGGGCAGACUAGAGUGCAGUAGGGGAGACUGGAAUUCCUGGUGUAGCGGUGGAAUGCGCAGAUAUCAGGAGGAACACCGAUGGCGAAGGCAGGUCUCUGGGCUGUAACUGACGCUGAGGAGCGAAAGCAUGGGGAGCGAACAGGAUUAGAUACCCUGGUAGUCCAUGCCGUAAACGUUGGGCACUAGGUGUGGGGACCAUUCCACGGUUUCCGCGCCGCAGCUAACGCAUUAAGUGCCCCGCCUGGGGAGUACGGCCGCAAGGCUAAAACUCAAAGGAAUUGACGGGGGCCCGCACAAGCGGCGGAGCAUGCGGAUUAAUUCGAUGCAACGUGAAGAACCUUACCAAGGCUUGACAUGUUCUCGAUCGCCGUAGAGAUACGGUUUCCCCUUUGGGGCGGGUUCACAGGUGGUGCAUGGUUGUCGUCAGCUCGUGUCGUGAGAUGUUGGGUUAAGUCCCGCAACGAGCGCAACCCUCGUUCCAUGUUGCCAGCACGUAAUGGUGGGGACUCAUGGGAGACUGCCGGGGUCAACUCGGAGGAAGGUGAGGACGACGUCAAAUCAUCAUGCCCCUUAUGUCUUGGGCUUCACGCAUGCUACAAUGGCCGGUACAAUGGGUUGCGAUACUGUGAGGUGGAGCUAAUCCCAAAAAGCCGGUCUCAGUUCGGAUUGGGGUCUGCAACUCGACCCCAUGAAGUCGGAGUCGC
RNAcentral lists this ribosomal RNA (754 nucleotides) under uncultured bacterium. RNAcentral's name for it is "bacterial SSU rRNA". It matches the Rfam family "Bacterial small subunit ribosomal RNA", at positions 584 to 1335 of the family's 1533-position model. The record is from RNAcentral.